AUUCACACGCGCACACAACACAACACAACACAUGUGACUGAAAGCCGUGUUUCCUACAUACCACAACGCAAAAUUGCACACAAAUCUGCCGAAUUCGGAAACCCUAAUAUGCGCAAGGUCGGGGCUUCGAUUGCAAACAUGGCUGUCCGAACCAUCACAGACGGCCAAAACCGGCAGGCUCAGCUGCUGUGCAGGCACGACGGAGCGAGUCUGGCUCCGAAAGGGGGCGAGAGCGCGGCGCUGACUGGGACCAACUCUCUUUUCCCGCUCAGAGCUCUCGCAUCUCCCCCCCCCCCCCCCCCCUGUCGCCUUCUCUCCCUUUCUCUUCCUCCUCAUCUUCUGACGUCGCCUUCGUCCUCGUGGUGUGGGUUCGCCAUGUAGGCCACAAUCGCCACGAGAUCAUCCCCCCGGCAUGCUGUGACAGUGGAUGAGAAGGCUUUUGCUGCUAAUAAUAUGUUGCCAUCAAUGGGCUGAAGGGAUUGGACUUGAACAAAUCAAACGUGGGAUUUGAAUAUCGUUUAAGAAUAGAUAAGUAUAGUUUUGAACACGGCAUUUAUGAAUGCUAAUCACUUUGCCAUGUUUGUGGAUUUGCUUUCGUUCCAACUUGAUACAAAAUUUAAAGGUAAAAACGGGUUUUCUUCUCAAGGUGGAGUGCGAAAUGUUACUAUGUUCUCGAGGAGGUGUCAUUGUUCAAGAGUGAAUGAAGUGUUUGUGCACUGAAAGACCCCACAUUGCUGCAGAUGAGCAUAACCGAUUCUAUUGCUUCAAUCCAGUAGGAUCCAAAGUUGAUGAUUCAGUUGCAUUCAUAGUUACGAUCGUUCUCACGCUAAACUCAUCGCGCCGGACACGAAACCCUGCAGUGAAGGUUGCCGGUAGAUCUGGAGAAUUUCCCAUCGCUCAGACACUCGAUUUAUUGAUAUCUCCGUAAUUCUGGGGCUAUUAGGAGUAUAAACGAAAACUGGCUGACGUUGAAAAGAGAAACACGACAGUGGUGGGAACUCACCCGAAGCGGCAGGAAUCUGGAGAGAGGGGGGGGGGGGGAUUUGUUGACAGGGUCUUCGACAGGUACAAGCUCUAGUGUUGUUGUUCUGAUCAUCAGGGUUAGGAGAAGGUGCGACCCCACAUCCGCCGUCCCAUGUGGCCAGUCUCGUACAAGCUACUCGUGUCCAACCGGGUCCGUCCUGCUAGCUCAAACUCAUGCCCAGUUCCUUCAGAACGGUACUUCUGCACUCAGUAUGAUGUGCAUACUCUUUUCGAAAUAACAGCUCCGUGUUUCUGUUACCGAUAACAAUAGAGAGAUAUGGACUAUGUGUUCCAAGCAACGUACGGAAUCCUCUACUCAUUUUGUUUUUGCAGAAGCUGCUUGUAUUAUGGGACUUCUGUAGAGACUUCUGCGGGUAAAGUGCGACAAAUGAGUCAGUUCCAGUGGUUUUUGCUUGAUCGGCACACAUCGUUACUUUCAAAAUGAUUAAAAACCACAGCAUGGGGAUCUGGCCCUUCCAUCAUGUGACGAGGACGUUGAAUUUUUGUUGAA
Molecule: non-coding RNA, 1534 nt
Organism: Physcomitrium patens
Lineage: Eukaryota; Viridiplantae; Streptophyta; Bryopsida; Funariales; Funariaceae
Source: RefSeq, a predicted model, not a curated record